UACAGAGGGUGCGAGCGUUAAUCGGAAUUACUGGGCGUAAAGCGUGCGUAGACGGCUAUCUAAGUCGGGUGUGAAAGCCCCGGGCUCAACCUGGGAAUUGCAUUCGAGACUGAAUAGCUAGGGUACGGUAGAGGGAAGCGGAAUUUCCGGUGUAGCGGUGAAAUGCGUAGAUAUCGGGAGGAACACCAGUGGCGAAGGCAGCUCGCUGGGACGUGACUGACGCUGAGACGCGAAAGCGUGGGGAGCAAACAGG
Molecule: ribosomal RNA, 253 nt
Filed under: uncultured bacterium
Lineage: Bacteria
Description: partial 16S ribosomal RNA
Rfam family: Bacterial small subunit ribosomal RNA
Source: RNAcentral